UGGGGAAUAUUGCACAAUGGGCGCAAGCCUGAUGCAGCCAUGCCGCGUGUAUGAAGAAGGCCUUCGGGUUGUAAAGUACUUUCAGCGGGGAGGAAGGGAGUAAAGUUAAUACCUUUGCUCAUUGACGUUACCCGCAGAAGAAGCACCGGCUAACUCCGUGCCAGCAGCCGCGGUAAUACGGAGGGUGCAAGCGUUAAUCGGAAUUACUGGGCGUAAAGCGCACGCAGGCGGUUUGUUAAGUCAGAUGUGAAAUCCUCGGGCUCAACCUGGGAACUGCAUCUGAUACUGGCAAGCUUGAGUCUCGUAGAGGGGGGUAGAAUUCCAGGUGUAGCGGUGAAAUGCGUAGAGAUCUGGAGGAGUACCGGUGGCGAAGGCGGCCCCCUGGACGAAGACUGACGCUCAGGUGCGAAAGCGUGGGGAGCAAACAGG
This 429-nucleotide ribosomal RNA is filed under the name Chloroflexota bacterium. RNAcentral's name for it is "Chloroflexi bacterium partial 16S ribosomal RNA". It matches the Rfam family "Bacterial small subunit ribosomal RNA", at positions 355 to 776 of the family's 1533-position model. The record is from RNAcentral. Lineage: Bacteria; Bacillati; Chloroflexota.